This 467-nucleotide ribosomal RNA is filed under the name uncultured bacterium. RNAcentral describes it as "partial 16S ribosomal RNA". It matches the Rfam family "Bacterial small subunit ribosomal RNA", at positions 28 to 507 of the family's 1533-position model. The record is from RNAcentral.
GAUGAACGCUGGCGGCGUGCUUAGCACAUGCAAGUCGAACGGAAAGGCUCCUGCUUGCAGGGGUACUCGAGUGGCGAACGGGUGAGUAACACGUGGGUGAUCUGCCCUGCACUUCGGGAUAAGCCUGGGAAACUGGGUCUAAUACCGGAUAGGACCACAUUUUGGAUGGUGUGGUGGAAAGUUUUUCGGUGUGGGAUGAGCUCGCGGCCUAUCAGCUUGUUGGUGGGGUAAUGGCCUACCAAGGCGUCGACGGGUAGCCGGCCUGAGAGGGUGUACGGCCACAUUGGGACUGAGAUACGGCCCAGACUCCUACGGGAGGCAGCAGUGGGGAAUAUUGCACAAUGGGCGCAAGCCUGAUGCAGCGACGCCGCGUGGGGGAUGACGGCCUUCGGGUUGUAAACUCCUUUCGCUAGGGACGAAGCGUUUUUGUGACGGUACCUGGAGAAGAAGCACCGGCUAACUACGUG